RNAcentral lists this unclassified non-coding RNA (344 nucleotides) under soil metagenome. RNAcentral describes it as "partial contains 5.8S ribosomal RNA, internal transcribed spacer 2, and large subunit ribosomal RNA". The stretch from base 1 to 119 matches the Rfam family "5.8S ribosomal RNA", at positions 35 to 154 of the family's 154-position model. The record is from RNAcentral.
GAUGAAGAACGUAGCGAAAUGCGAUACGUAAUGUGAAUUGCAAAUUCAGUGAAUCAUCGAGUCUUUGAACGCACAUUGCGCCCCCUGGUAUUCCGGGGGGCAUGCCUGUCCGAGCGUCAUUGCUGCCCUCAAGCACGGCUUGUGUGUUGGGCCCCGUCCUCCGAUCCCGGGGGACGGGCCCGAAAGGCAGCGGCGGCACCGCGUCCGGUCCUCGAGCGUAUGGGGCUUUGUCACCCGCUCUGUAGGCCCGGCCGGCGCUUGCCGAUCAACCCAAAUUUUUAUCCAGGUUGACCUCGGAUCAGGUAGGGAUACCCGCUGAACUUAAGCAUUCAAUAAGCGGAGGA